RNAcentral lists this transfer RNA (71 nucleotides) under Thremma gallicum. RNAcentral's name for it is "tRNA-Val". It matches the Rfam family "tRNA". Rfam says of the family: Transfer RNA (tRNA) molecules are approximately 80 nucleotides in length. The record is from RNAcentral. Lineage: Eukaryota; Metazoa; Arthropoda; Insecta; Trichoptera; Uenoidae.
CAAAUUAAAUCUUUAUAGUAAAGUAAUUCAUUUACAUUGAAAAUUUAAAUGUGCAAUUCAUUUUAAUUUGA